UUUUUUUUUUUCAAAAGCAAGAGUGUACCUCCAAAAGCUGGUACAAGUUUUUAAGUCAAGCAUGUAUUAGCACAGGACAACAAUCUCUAUUCCCAAGGGAGAUUGCAACACUCGUCUUUGUUCACCAGAUGUGGUCCAGCCUUUAGAUCAUUUCCCAGUUAAUCUCUCUCCAGUACUAAUGUUGACUGAUCAGUCAACGUCCAAGUGAGGGGUUUUGGAAUAGAGCAAGAGACAUAGAUUGGAUAAGUCCAAAGAACAGAGCUAUGUGGACUCAGUGCUCAUUUUCCCAAACAGUAAGGUACAGUAACCUGUUUACUUUUUGUUAUAUUGGUCAUGCCAAUCUGAAUAAGCAGAUCGGUGGGUUUCUAGGACUUUCCCACUUGCUAAAGUAUGUUAAAUGGAGCUGUGUCAAAACCUGUAUUUGCAUCUCAGAAACCUAAGUAGCUGGGAAAAACUAGCAAAUUGUUUUGUUUUUAUAUAUAUGAAUCAAAUCUGAAUAGGACUUGAUUUUUAGUUUAAAUAUUAUAGUGCUCAGGUUAGCUAUCUGUUGGAUUAAAUGUCAGGCAUAUCCUUAAUUUACUAAAUUAGUGUUCAAGUCUGUAAUUGAAGUAAUCCCUUUGAUAAUGUAUCCUUAAGGCAAGGGAAUACUUUGACUUAAUUAAAAAGAGAAUGUCAGUUGAUGAGUCUGUCUUUUCAGAGAAUGUCUCCUUGCAGAUAUAUUGAAUCAAAGAAAUAAUAAUCAGCUCAGUGAAACCUUACUGUUAGAGAACAUAUUUGUAAUUUUUAAAUGAAUAUAUCAUUUGUGUAAUUAGGCAAUGUGAGUCUGUCACAUUUGCUCUGAUGGAGAAAAUAGGUUUUCUGAUACUAGCACAGACUCUGAUCUUAUCCUGAACUAUAAUCUUAGAGAAUUCUCCUAACCAAUGUUUGCUUCAGUUUAUUUUUAUCAUAGAGGGGUAAUUCAUUAAACACAACAUUUUUAAGAGAACUUUUAACACACAAGGUUUUUAAUUUUUGUUUUUGUUUAUGUUAGUAAUACUCUAGGAGUAAGUCCCGGUUUCUCUUCUCCUGGCCUGUCAAAAACCAGCUUUAUGAUUUUGGCAAGUUAUUUAACUACAGAUUCUUUCACGUAUAAAAUGUCAAGUCUGAUCUUCAAUGUUGGAUUCCAGAUCUAUUUUUCAGUGAGUAUUUGUUUUAUUUAAAGAUCAUCUUUUGUUUUCUAAAUAUUGAAGAUGUUACUCUUCAUAUUAAGUUGACCUUUUUUAAAGAUUUUAUUUAUUUGAGAGAGAGAGACAGAGACAGAGCAGGAGUAGGGAGGAGGGGGAGAAGCAGACUCCCUGCUGAGCAGGGAGCCUGACAUGGGACUCGAUCCCAGGACCUGGAGAUCAUGACCUGUGCCAAAGGCAGAUGCUCAACCUACUGAGCCACCCAGGUGCCCCGUAAGCUGAUCUUUUAUUCCUAUAUAUUGAGAUCUAAAAGUUCAAAGUUGGAAUAAUACUGUCAGGAAAACAGAGGAGCUGGGAAAGAGUGGAAAAUGGACAGAGUACUAAGUAUCCUGUUCAGAACAUUCUGCUGGGUUAUUGUUACCUUUCGUUGUCUCUGAGCUAUUUUGUAACUUUGUACAAUGGAAAAUACAGUUAGUGAUUCUAAGGAUUCUUGCCUAAAGAUGUGCAGAUUGGGUCCACUGAAAUGCAAUUGACCAUUGCCUUUGGAUAGGAACAUGGUUUAUGUUCAUUUGAAAAUUCAUUUCAACAUCCCUAAUUGCUCUAUACGUCUAGUUCUUUGAAUUCUUCUUUGCAUCAGUUAUAACACUGUAUUGGUUUCCUCAUUAACUAAUAAGUUAAAUAAAAUCUUGGACAUAUGAGCAUUUCAUAUUUGUAUUAGGGUCAUGAUUAAAGGAUAAUUAAGAAAUUAUCCUUUAAUUUACCUACAUAAUUAGAUUACUGCAAGGAUUAAGUAAGAUGUUGCCAGCGUGUUAAGUACUAGGCACAGUGCCUGUGACCUAAUGAUGAUGGUUAUUCAUGUUUAGUCUACUGAGCAAGUGAACUUUGGUUCCAGCCAAGAGUGUCUUCCUCA
RNAcentral lists this long non-coding RNA (2073 nucleotides) under Canis lupus familiaris (dog). RNAcentral's name for it is "lncRNA (ENSCAFG00000052787.1)". Lineage: Eukaryota; Metazoa; Chordata; Mammalia; Carnivora; Canidae. The record is from RNAcentral.